AUAGAGUGCAUCUCCGUGGGGUGCUCUCAGUUUCCUCAACGUUUAUCAGCUGCUAUGGUUCACCGGACUCACUGCCAGGUUCCUCAUGCUAUGAUGCAAUGGGGCAACUGAUGCUUAUUUACUGCUAGAUGUUUCUCUAAAUUUAGGGUCUAAAGCAAGUUAAAAAAGAGAGUAUGGAUUGAAUUUUUCUUCUUAUUCUUGAUCAUGGAUUGAUUUUGAUUUAGUUAGUAGGAAAAUUAUUUAAUACUUCUGAAAUAUCAACUCAUCAAGUUUGAGGUGGUACAUUGAAUUAAUAAUAAUACAUUAUAUAAUCUAAAAUUAAUCUUGAAAAUCUACACCACCACUGAACUAAUUAUAAUAUACAUAAUAGUUUAAGUAAAUUUAAAUUUAAUAAAUUUUAUUUUUUAAUUAAAUUAUUUUUUUUAAAAGAAAUUUUUUAUUGAGUGUACCCAGUUCCAUAUAAUAAAUUUGUUACAUAGUUUCAAUUGAUAAUAUUCUUAGACAGUGGCUUUCCAAUGUGAUUGUGUUAUCAUUGUUUAAAUCCAUAUUAGUAAGUGCAAAUGACUGCUAGCAUAUAAAGAUAAGAAGCACCUUUUAUUUAUUUUGAAACAUGAGAAGAAGCUUAUGCUUCGUAGGCAGCAGAUGGAGAUACAUUACUAAGCAGAAACGAAAAUUUUAAAGGAAUAACACGACAUCGUAAUGACAUAUAUUCCUUGCUCACUUUCAUCCUACUUAGCUCCAUCUUUCUCUGCAUCUGCAAUUGCAAAAACAAUAUAAUAAAGUUAGAUAUUAUAAUGCUAUCAAAAUGAGCGUGACAAAUCCAAAUUUUGAAAAAAUAGAGUGUACCAGUUGACGGCGCAAUUGAGAGGUGGAAGAUGGCAUUGGGAUGGAAGGCGGGCAGCAAUGGCCAGAGUGUUGCAGAGGCAGUCAUUUUGCAUGGACUGGAGUGCGUUACAACAAUCAGCACUAGGGCUGCCGUGGGCACCAGGUACUACAAAUGGUGCACACACAUUCAGGGUAUUCAACUGGCUUGGGCAACUCUGCGACAUGCUCAGGUGGGUCUGCGCUGCAACUGCUAUGAACAAGAGAAGCAUUGCUGCUUGCGAGCUCAUAGAGGUCAGGCACUUGAUAGCUGCCAUUUCUAUUGAUCAAUUUUGUGUUUACUCGUUGUUAUGUUUUAAGUUUAAGAUUUUUUACUUCAAUUUAUAGUCGGUGCCAAGAUAUAUUUGAGGUUGAGUCUUGAUGUGAGUCACCUAAUACAAGUUCAUCUUUAUUGUGUUGGACUCCAAAAAAAAAAAACAUUUAUAAUUUGA
Molecule: long non-coding RNA, 1313 nt
Filed under: Manihot esculenta (cassava)
Lineage: Eukaryota; Viridiplantae; Streptophyta; Magnoliopsida; Malpighiales; Euphorbiaceae
Description: long non-coding RNA (MESC_LNC008271)
Source: RNAcentral